This is a long non-coding RNA of Zea mays, 565 nucleotides long. RefSeq lists it as uncharacterized. The record is from RefSeq and is a predicted model, not a curated record. The transcript is spliced from 2 exons. NCBI's taxonomy places the organism in Eukaryota, Viridiplantae, Streptophyta, Magnoliopsida, Poales, Poaceae.
ACAAUAUCCUUUUCCUUCUGCAGAUAAGCUCAGAGUUGAUCUCAUGAAUAUUUCUGAGUACUCUUAGUUGAAAAAUACUUUCCCAAGACAAGGAGUACUUUACUGAACUUGCGAUUGAUGUUGUCUUGAGGCUUAAGGUGUACAAAUGGUUUAAUGAAAGUUGGUUAUCAUUUACAUUGAACUAUGAUAUCUUCAUCUAUAAAAUUUUACUCUUCAAAAAGGUAGCACCCACUUGGAAUAUAUUGAAAUUCUGAAGAUACAUGGAGAAUCUCUUAAGGAUUCAUUUUUGGACGAAGGGUACGUAUUUAUAGAAAAAAUACCACUAUAUUCUUUUGACCACACAGCACUGGGUUGCAUACAAAUUCUCUCACCUAGCACCAAAUUCUCCUUUCUGUCAAUCAGUCCAACCUAAGAGCCCAAUGCAAUCAAUUUCUGUUUUUAUCAACACCCUAACCAAUUAGAAUUAGCACUACAUUUUCUAAAAGAUCAAUUGCUCAUUUACUAGCUAAAUAAAGUAGGAAUUAGCACUACAUUUUCCUAUUUGUUUCCAUUGCUCUGAGCAUUU